UACGUAGGGGGCAAGCGUUGUCCGGAUUUAUUGGGCGUAAAGAGCGUGUAGGCGGCUUCACAGGUCCGCUGUGAAAACUCGAGGCUCAACCUCGAGAUGUCGGUGGAAACCGUGUGGCUAGAGUCCGGAAGAGGAGAGUGGAAUUCCCGGUGUAGCGGUGAAAUGCACAGAUAUCGGGAAGAACACCCGUGGCGAAGGCGGCUCUCUGGGACGGUACUGACGCUGAGACGCGAAAGCGUGGGGAGCGAACAGG
This 253-nucleotide ribosomal RNA is filed under the name uncultured bacterium. RNAcentral's name for it is "partial 16S ribosomal RNA". It matches the Rfam family "Bacterial small subunit ribosomal RNA", at positions 524 to 776 of the family's 1533-position model. The record is from RNAcentral.